UACCGGCAGUUCAAGUCGCAUCCCUUUUUAUUGGGUCUAAAACAUCCGUAGCUUGUUUUUUAAGUCUCUUGUGAAAUCCUACGUCUCAAGCGUGGGGCUUGCGGGAGAUACUGAAAGGCUAGAGAUCGGUAGACGUAAGGAGUACGCGAGAGGUAACGGUUAAAUGUGUUAAUCUUUCGUGGACUAACGAUGAGCGAAGGCACCUUACGAGGACGAAUCUGACAGUCAGGGAUGAAGGCCAGGGGCGCAAAACGG
This 255-nucleotide ribosomal RNA is filed under the name uncultured archaeon. RNAcentral describes it as "partial 16S ribosomal RNA". It matches the Rfam family "Archaeal small subunit ribosomal RNA", at positions 474 to 727 of the family's 1478-position model. The record is from RNAcentral.